Molecule: unclassified non-coding RNA, 896 nt
Filed under: Zea mays
Lineage: Eukaryota; Viridiplantae; Streptophyta; Magnoliopsida; Poales; Poaceae
Description: misc RNA Zm00001eb048350
Source: RNAcentral
GCCCCGCAAUGCGAAUAACAUUUACCAUCAGACAAAUUUCAUCUUGCACAUAGUGGCAGUACUCCUAGGAACUUACUGUGAAAUGGGGAAUAGUAACAUCAUAUUGGCAGCUAUGAACAUGGAGUUUUCGUUCCAACGAAACCAAAACCCAUUACAACAUAUGCAAAGGCCUGGAGGUAUAUGUAAAGAUAGUAUUUGUGGCUUCCAAGUACGAAGUCAUAUGAAGCACAUAUUAGGAGGUGGAGUGCAAGCAAGAGCUCAGGAAAGUAAAUCCUGCAAAUGCAAUGAUUGCAAAAUAAGCACAACAAACAAGUAGCAUUUUUUAUUCCUUCAGCACGGAAAGAGUGAAUUGAUAUGCUAUGUAAGCCUCCUCAGUUACCUCUCAACGCAUUCUGUUGGCUUCACUGGUUCAAGGAGUGGAACAUCUAGGUCAUCCUUCACAAGAUCUCCUACCUUCUCAGUGACUACCCAAUCAUUUGCCCGUGCAGUCUCAAGUAAACCGGUUACAGCAGCACGCAUGCGGUGCAUGGACAUAACAUUCUCGAAGAGAAUCCAGAAGGGCAUCAAAUGGAGAGACCUGAUAUAUCACACAAUAUAAUCCAAAGAUGGCCACAUUGACGGAAGAUGGAAGGUUGAGCAUUGUUGGAUUAUGCGUACCAAGGAUUUCUGAUGGCGUUCAUACAUGUGAUUGCAGUGGGAAUAUAGACCAGCCCCCAUACAGGAAUGCUGACACCAGGAACCAUGGCAGACAAAGGGAUGACAACACAAUAAAACAAGAAUGUCACAAGGGGAGCAAUAACCCUUCGGACAAAGAAAAAGCUGUAUAACAGAUGAUGUUUCUUCCAUAUUGACACCUCCUGCAUCAUGUGCAGAUGGCAAUUAUAACAUGAGAAACU